This 832-nucleotide ribosomal RNA is filed under the name Torrentispora biatriispora. RNAcentral's name for it is "eukaryotic LSU rRNA". It matches the Rfam family "Eukaryotic large subunit ribosomal RNA", at positions 75 to 945 of the family's 3401-position model. Lineage: Eukaryota; Fungi; Ascomycota; Sordariomycetes; Xenospadicoidales; Xenospadicoidaceae. The record is from RNAcentral.
UUGCCCCAGUAACGGCGAGUGAAGCGGCAACAGCUCAAAUUUGAAAUCUGGCCUUGGCCCGAGUUGUAAUUUGUAGAGGAUGCUUCGGGCGCGGCGCCCUCCGAGUUCCCUGGAACGGGACGCCACAGAGGGUGAGAGCCCCGUAUGGUCGGAUGCCCAGCCCGUGUGAAGCUCCUUCGACGAGUCGAGUAGUUUGGGAAUGCUGCUCAAAAUGGGAGGUACAUUUCUUCUAAAGCUAAAUACCGGCCAGAGACCGAUAGCGCACAAGUAGAGUGAUCGAAAGAUGAAAAGCACUUUGAAAAGAGGGUUAAACAGCACGUGAAAUUGUUGAAAGGGAAGCGUUUGCGACCAGACUCGGGCGCGGGGGAUCAGCCGGCGUUCUCGCCGGUGCACUCCGCCGUGCCCGGGCCAGCAUCGGUUCUCGCGGUGGGAUAAAGGCUCCGGGAACGUGGCUCCUCCGGGAGUGUUAUAGCCCGCCGCACAAUACCGCCGGGGGGACCGAGGUACGCGCUCCGCAAGGAUGCUGGCGUAAUGGUCGUCAACGACCCGUCUUGAAACACGGACCAAGGAGUCAAGCAUUAGGGCGAGUGUAUGGGUGCCAAACCCGCACGCGUAAUGAAAGUGAACGUAGGUGAGACUUCGCGCAUCAUCGACCGAUCCUGAUGUUCUCGGAUGGAUUUGAGUAAAAGCCUUACCGCUUGGACCGAAAGAUGGUGAACUAUGCCUGUAUAGGGGGAAGCCAGAGGAAACUCUGGUGGAGGCUCCCAGCGGUUCUUACGUGCAAAUCGAUCGUCAAAUAUGGGCAUGGGGGCGAAAGACUAAUCGAACGUCU